GAUACAGAUAAUAGCUAUUUUUCCUUAAAAUAUCAGAAAACUAAAAAUUUUGAUAGUGAUAUAAAUUAUAAUGAUGAUAAUAAUAUAUAUAACUUAUCAAACAACACUGGUAAAAAUAAUCAAAUAAAUGGCAGAUUGAAAUCAACGAAAACAACAAAUAUGAACUUGAAAAAGAGUAAUAAGAAUAAUGAUAGUAAUAACAAUAUGUCAACGAUUGAUAAAUCGGAAAGCAUUACGUAUAAUAAUCAUAAUAACAUACAACAACACGACACAUCGGAUAAUGUUAUUAACUACGUUAGUAAUAAUAAAAACAAUGUAUAUCAUAAAUUAGGAAACCAAUUUGAUGAAUUAGAAACAAAUAGUUAUAAAAAAAAUAAUAAUGACUGUUUUGAUGAUAAUUACCAUGAUAAUUACGAUGAUAAUGUGGAUAAUAAUAAUAAUAAUAAUAAUGACAAUAAUAAUGACAAUAAUAAUAAUAAUAAUAAUAAUAAUAAUAAUAAUAAGGUUAUUACCUGUUCAUCUAAGACGCAUACUUUUAAUAAAAAAAAUGAACAAAAUGUACAAGUAAAAAAUACAGACAUAUUAUCUAAGGUUAAUUUAUAUAAUAAGGACUUAACCAAAACUAAAUAUUUUGAUGGGGAAGAUGACUGGGAUGAUGAAUAUGAUGAAGACGGUAAUUAUGUCACUACUUACAAGAAUACUGGUGUCCAUAAUAAUAACAACAUAAAUAAUAAUGAUUAUACUAGUAAUAGUAGUAUUAAUAGUAGUAGUAACAAAAAUAAUAAAACUGAUUCAUAUUAUUCUAUAAAUUAUACUGAUUAUGAUGACAUAAAAACUAAACCAGCGACAACCAUAACGGAAACUUCUACUUGUACAAAUAAAAAAUUAUAUUUUAUUAAUAAUAAUACAAUUAAACAACAAAAUAAAUCUACUGAAACUAAUAUUGAAGAAGAUAAAUUUAAUAAAUAUAGUAGUACUAUGGGUACUACAACCGAUACAUUUGAUCGCUACGUUGAUACAAAUGUACCUGUUGUAGCUGAUAAUAAUAUAUUAGAAACAAAAAAUACAAAUUUAAAUAACUUAUUAUUACAAAAUAUAUUGAACGAUAAUAAUAAUAGUAGUAGUAGCAAUAACAGUAGUAACAUCAACGUAGUUAUGAACAAUAAUGUAUAUCAUAAUAUGAAUAGUAAAAGUAGUAAUAAUUAUAACACGAACGAUGAUAAUUAUAAUAAAAAAAACAAUUUAUUAAAUACACAUAGUGGAAAUGAAAAAAGAGGUAUGAAAUUUAAUAAUAAGAAUGUGAUAAAUAUAAAUACAUGUAUAAAUAAAAAUAUGAACAUUAUGAAAACUGAUAACAUAAUAUACAUUGAUGAAAUUACUACUACUGCUCAUAUACAAAAGGAAAUCAACAAAUUACAAAUAACUAAAGAAAAUUCCAACAAUAAUAAUCGUAAAAAUAAUAAUGAUAAGGACAUAGUAUAUUACAAUAAAGAACAAUAUUAUAAAAAACAAGUUCACCAAUAUCAACAGAUUGGUGGUAAUAGUAACAGUAGUACUGACAAAGAUACGGUAUAUAAAAAAACAGACGAUAAUAUUAACAAUAUAUUAAGUUGUAACAUUGGUUUGAAUGGAAAUGUAAAUGUUAAUGAUAGUACAACAGAAUAUAUGUCUACAACAGAUAUAACACGUGCUAAUUUAAAUUAUUAUAUACAAAAUGAGAGUGAACUGAAUAACAUUAAUACUAAUGCGAAUAAUGACUAUAAUGACAACUAUAUUAGCAAAUCAGUAGAUUAUACCUGUGAAAGUGCAAGUGCAAGUGCAAGUGCCAGUGCAUGCGUACAGACAGUAACAGAAGCGGAAACAGGAACAGCAACGGGAACAGCAACAGGAACAGCAACAAAAACAACAACAACAACAACAACAAGGACAAGAACAGGGACAGAAACAGGAAAAAGAACAGAAACAAGGACAGGGACAGAAACAAGAAAAAGAACAGGAACAGAAACAGGAACAGAAACAGGAACAGAAACAAUAACAGGGACAGAAACAAGAACAGGAACAGGAACAGGAACAGGAACAGAAACAAAAACAGGAACAGAAACAAAAACAAAAACAGAAACAAGAACAGGAACAGGAACAGGAACAGGAACAGAAACAAGAACAGAAACAAGAACCGGAAUAGGAACAGGAACAGAAACAGAAACAGAAACAAGAACAGGAACAGAAACAAGAAC
This is a long non-coding RNA of Piliocolobus tephrosceles (Ugandan red Colobus), 2234 nucleotides long. The record is from Ensembl. NCBI's taxonomy places the organism in Eukaryota, Metazoa, Chordata, Mammalia, Primates, Cercopithecidae.